This 500-nucleotide ribosomal RNA is filed under the name uncultured bacterium. RNAcentral's name for it is "partial 16S ribosomal RNA". It matches the Rfam family "Bacterial small subunit ribosomal RNA", at positions 30 to 523 of the family's 1533-position model. The record is from RNAcentral.
AUUGAACGCUGGCGGCAUGCCUUACACAUGCAAGUCGAACGGCAGCACGGGUGCUUGCACCUGGUGGCGAGUGGCGAACGGUGAGUAAUACAUCGGAACGUACCUUAUCGUGGGGGAUAACGCAGCGAAAGCUGUGCUAAUACCGCAUACGCCCUGAGGGGGAAAGCGGGGGAUCGAAAGACCUCGCGCGAUUAGAGCGGCCGAUGCCUGAUUAGCUUGUUGGUGGGGUAAAAGCCCACCAAGGCGACGUUCAGUAGCUGUUCUGGGAGGACGAACAGCCACACUGGGCCUGAGACACGGCCCAGACUCCUACGAGAGGCAGCAGUGGGGAAUUUUGGAGAAGGUGGGCAACCCUUAUCCAGCAAUGCCGGGUGAGUGAAGAAGGCCUUCGGGUUGUAAAGCUCUUUUGUCAGGGAAGAAACACCGGCUCUAACACAGUCCGGGAAUGACGGUACCUGAAGAAUAAGCACCGGCUAACUACGUGCCAGCAGCCGCCGUAA